RNAcentral lists this non-coding RNA (57 nucleotides) under unclassified sequences. The record is from RNAcentral.
GCUGUAAUGCAGCCACCUGUCCGGUGAGGGUCACAAGUCCCUAAUGCAGAGUGCAAC